UACGGAGGGUGCGAGCGUUGUCCGGAAUCACUGGGCGUAAAGGGCGCGUAGGUGGCUUUUCAAGCGCGCGGUGAAAGCCCGGGGCUCAACCCCGGGUCGGCCGUGCGGACUGGGAGGCUUGAGCACUGUAGGGGCGGGUGGAAUUCCGGGUGUAGCGGUGGAAUGCGUAGAUAUCGGGAGGAACACCAGUGGCGCAAGCGGCGGCCUGGGUAUGACCUGACACUGAGCCACGACGGCGUGGGGAGCAAACGGG
This 253-nucleotide ribosomal RNA is filed under the name uncultured bacterium. RNAcentral's name for it is "partial 16S ribosomal RNA". It matches the Rfam family "Bacterial small subunit ribosomal RNA", at positions 524 to 776 of the family's 1533-position model. The record is from RNAcentral.